This 76-nucleotide transfer RNA is filed under the name Propionibacteriaceae bacterium. RNAcentral describes it as "tRNA-Trp". It matches the Rfam family "tRNA". Rfam says of the family: Transfer RNA (tRNA) molecules are approximately 80 nucleotides in length. Their secondary structure includes four short double-helical elements and three loops (D, anti-codon, and T loops). The record is from RNAcentral. Lineage: Bacteria; Bacillati; Actinomycetota; Actinomycetes; Propionibacteriales; Propionibacteriaceae.
GCGGGUGUGGCUCAAUUGGAAGAGCAGUCGUCUCCAAAGCGACCGGUUCGGGGUUCGAGUCCCUGCGCCCGUGCCA